UACGUAGGGUGCGAGCGUUGUCCGGAAUUAUUGGGCGUAAAGAGCUCGUAGGCGGUUUGUCGCGUCGACUGUGAAAACCUACAGCUUAACUGUGGGCUUGCAGUCGAUACGGGCAGACUUGAGUUCGGUAGGGGAGACUGGGAUUCCUGGUGUAGCGGUGAAAUGCGCAGAUAUCAGGAGGAACACCGGUGGCGAAGGCGGGUCUCUGGGCCGAUACUGACGCUGAGGAGCGAAAGCGUGGGGAGCGAACAGG
RNAcentral lists this ribosomal RNA (253 nucleotides) under uncultured bacterium. RNAcentral's name for it is "partial 16S ribosomal RNA". It matches the Rfam family "Bacterial small subunit ribosomal RNA", at positions 524 to 776 of the family's 1533-position model. The record is from RNAcentral.